RNAcentral lists this ribosomal RNA (465 nucleotides) under Vreelandella stevensii. RNAcentral's name for it is "partial 16S ribosomal RNA". It matches the Rfam family "Bacterial small subunit ribosomal RNA", at positions 338 to 795 of the family's 1533-position model. The record is from RNAcentral. Lineage: Bacteria; Pseudomonadati; Pseudomonadota; Gammaproteobacteria; Oceanospirillales; Halomonadaceae.
CCUACGGGAGGCUGCAGUGGGGAAUAUUGGACAAUGGGGGCAACCCUGAUCCAGCCAUGCCGCGUGUGUGAAGAAGGCCCUCGGGUUGUAAAGCACUUUCAGUGAGGAAGAACGCCUGGUGGUUAAUACCCAUCAGGAAAGACAUCACUCACAGAAGAAGCACCGGCUAACUCCGUGCCAGCAGCCGCGGUAAUACGGAGGGUGCGAGCGUUAAUCGGAAUUACUGGGCGUAAAGCGCGCGUAGGUGGCUUGAUAAGCCGGUUGUGAAAGCCCGGGGCUCAACCUGGGAACGGCAUCCGGAACUGUCAAGCUAGAGUGCAGGAGAGGAAGGUAGAAUUCCCGGUGUAGCGGUGAAAUGCGUAGAGAUCGGGAGGAAUACCAGUGGCGAAGGCGGCCUUCUGGACUGACACUGACACUGAGGUGCGAAAGCGUGGGUAGCAAACAGGAUUAGAUACCCUAGUAGUC